UGUGUCCAGUUGGCAAAGUACCCCUUCCU
RNAcentral lists this non-coding RNA (29 nucleotides) under Rattus norvegicus (Norway rat). The record is from RNAcentral. Lineage: Eukaryota; Metazoa; Chordata; Mammalia; Rodentia; Muridae.